CAAGUCGAGCGGUAACAGAGAGAAGCUUGCUUCUUUGCUGACGAGCGGCGGACGGGUGAGUAAUGCUUGGGGAUCUGCCCGGUCGUGGGGGAUAACCAUUGGAAACGAUGGCUAAUACCGCAUACGCCCUACGGGGGAAAGCAGGGGACCUUCGGGCCUUGCGCGAUUGGAUGAACCCAAGUGAGAUUAGCUUGUUGGUGAGGUAACGGCUCACCAAGGCGACGAUCUCUAACUGGUCUGAGAGGAUGACCAGUCACACUGGGACUGAGACACGGCCCAGACUCCUACGGGAGGCAGCAGUGGGGAAUAUUGCACAAUGGGSGMAASCCUGAUGCAGCCAUGCCGCGUGUGUGAAGAAGGCCUUCGGGUUGUAAAGCACUUUCAGUCAGGAGGAAAGGUUAGUAGUUAAUACCUGCUAGCUGUGACGUUACUGACAGAAGAAGCACCGGCUAACUCCGUGCCAGCAGCCGCGGUAAUACGGAGGGUGCGAGCGUUAAUCGGAAUUACUGGGCGUAAAGCGUACGCAGGCGGUUUGUUAAGCGAGAUGUGAAAGCCCCGGGCUCAACCUGGGAACUGCAUUUCGAACUGGCAAACUAGAGUGUGAUAGAGGGUGGUAGAAUUUCAGGUGUAGCGGUGAAAUGCGUAGAGAUUGGAAGGAAUACCAGUGGCGAAGGCGGCCC
RNAcentral lists this ribosomal RNA (680 nucleotides) under uncultured bacterium. RNAcentral's name for it is "bacterial SSU rRNA". It matches the Rfam family "Bacterial small subunit ribosomal RNA", at positions 58 to 727 of the family's 1533-position model. The record is from RNAcentral.